CGAACAACAAAGUACCAACUUUACAUGCAUUUUCCAUCCGACCAAAGUCCCUCCCACUUUUUCCGAGGAAGAUCGCCGUCGAGCCCCACGCACGCAGCACCAUCAUCGUUUCCCUCCCGUUCACAUUCAGAUGGAUCGUCGCGAAUGCCUUCUCCUGCUCGUGCUUUCAGCGACGCUCUUCAGUUUCGGCGCCUCUUGCUCCAAUGGUGAAUGCAGGCUUCUUGAUGAAUGCUCGAGCGAUAGCGACUGCGAGGCCGGUCUCUAUUGUUUCUCCUGCCCUCAAGGCUUUUCGGGUUCCAGAUGCGUAAGAUCGACCAUUACUGACCAGUUCAAGCUCUUGAACAAUUCUCUUCCUUUAAACAAAUAUGCAUUCUUGACAACCCACAAUGCGUAUGCUAUUGAUGGAGAGCCACUCCACACGCCCGUACCAAGAGUGACCUUUACAAAUCAAGAGGAUACAGUCACUCAACAGCUAAAUAAUGGAGUUCGAGGGCUGAUGCUAGAUACAUAUGACUUCGAAGGAGAUGUAUGGUUGUGCCAUUCUUUUAAAGGUCAAUGUUACAACUUCACCGCAUUUGAACCGGCUAUAGACACUCUCAAGGAAAUCGAAACUUUUCUAUCUGCAAACCCGGCGGAGAUAGUCACUUUGAUACUCGAGGACUACGUUCAGGCGCCAAAUGGAUUGACAAAGGUCUUUACUGAUGCUGGCUUGAUGAAAUACUGGUUUCCGGUAUCAAACAUGCCAAAGAAUGGUCAAGAUUGGCCGCUAGUUAGUGACAUGGUGGCUAAUAAUCAGCGGCUGCUCGUGUUUACCUCCAUCCAGUCUAAGGAACAGAGUGAAGGGAUUGCUUAUCAGUGGAAUUACAUGGUUGAGAAUCAAUAUGGUGAUGGUGGAAUGCAAGCAGGAAGCUGUCCAAACAGAGCUGAAUCAGCGCCUCUUGAUGACAGGAGCAAGUCCUUGGUUUUGGUGAAUUACUUCCGGUCUCAGCCCAUCAAGCUACUCAGUUGCGAGAACAACUCGGGCGACCUCAUUAACAUGCUUCGGACUUGUUAUGGCGCGGCUGGCAACAGAUGGGCUAACUUUGUUGCUGUUGAUUUUUAUAAGUUAUGGAAAAGCAUCAACACCAGAAGCUCUAUGCUUUUAUGCAGAGGAGCGAGGGAGGAGGAUCAUUUCAAGCGGUAGACACUCUAAACGGGAAGCUGCUAUGCGGAUGUGACGAUGUGCACGCUUGCGCGCCGGGUUCGACUUCUGGGGCAUGCUCUCCAUAGAAAACAAGAAUAUCCUGAAUAGAACAAAGGGAACUACAGUGACUGCUACAACUAGGAAUAGUAAAACGCACACUGCAAUUCAUGACAAGCGUCCGACAAAUGCAGGAUUCAAAUUAAUUGUUGCUGCAUUUUUGUUUUAUGUAAGACUACAGUGACUCGGUCGGAAUAGCAGAACCUACCAAUCAAGAGAAAUGAAAA
Molecule: RNA transcript, 1467 nt
Organism: Syzygium oleosum
Lineage: Eukaryota; Viridiplantae; Streptophyta; Magnoliopsida; Myrtales; Myrtaceae
Gene name: PI-PLC X domain-containing protein At5g67130
Exons: 8
Source: RefSeq, a predicted model, not a curated record